CCCGACUCCGGGAGGGGCGUAUUUAUUAGAUAAAAAACCAAUGCCCUCCGGGGCUCCCUGGUGAUUCAUGGUAACUCAACGAAUCGCACGGCCUUGCGCCGGCGAUGGUUCAUUCAAAUUUCUGCCCUAUCAACUUUCGAUUGUAGGAUAGAGGCCUACAAUGGUGUCGACGGGUAACGGGGAAUAAGGGUUCGAUUCCGGAGAGGGAGCCUGAGAAACGGCUACCACAUCCAAGGAAGGCAGCAGGCGCGCAAAUUACCCAAUCCCGACUCGGGGAGGUAGUGACAAUAAAUACUGAUACGGGGCUCUUUCGGGUCUCGUAAUUGGAAUGAGUACAAUUUAAACCCCUUAACGAGGAACAAUUGGAGGGCAAGUCUGGUGCCAGCAGCCGCGGUAAUUCCAGCUCCAAUAGCGUAUAUUAAAGUUGUUGCAGUUAAAAAGCUCGUAGUUGAACCUUGGGCCCGGCUGGCCGGUCCGCCUCACCGCUGCACUGGACCGGCCGGGCCUUUCCUCCCGGGGAACCCCAUGCCCUUCGCUGGGCGUGCGGGGGAGCCGGGACUUUUACUUUGAAAAAAUUAGAGUGUUCAAAGCAGGCCUUUGCUCGGA
RNAcentral lists this ribosomal RNA (606 nucleotides) under Melaspilea costaricensis. RNAcentral describes it as "SSU rRNA". It matches the Rfam family "Eukaryotic small subunit ribosomal RNA", at positions 182 to 799 of the family's 1831-position model. Lineage: Eukaryota; Fungi; Ascomycota; Dothideomycetes; Eremithallales; Melaspileaceae. The record is from RNAcentral.